The sequence is a ribosomal RNA, 2826 nucleotides long. It matches the Rfam family "Bacterial large subunit ribosomal RNA".
UAAAUAGUAUAUAGUAGUAGUAUGUAUGUAUGUAUGUUUGAUAUUUACAAUUUAUUUUUAUUACUAUUUUAGUAAUGUAUAUAAAGAGACUAUUAAGGAGGCCUAGCUAUAUAUUAAAGAGAUUAAUUUGUGUUUUUAAUUUUACACAUGCACUCUUAGAGAAAUUCAAUAAUAAACGAAGUGAAUUGAAAUAUCUUAGUAACUUUAGGAAAAGAAAUCAAACGAGAUUCUAUGAUUAGUGUGAAUGAAAAUAGAAAAGCCAAGAAAAAAAUAAGUAAAACGGGCAUAACCAGUUUGAAAACGUAAAAAGAGUGUGCUCUAGCGACAGAGACAAGGUCUAAGCACUCGUAAUUUUACAAAGGGGAACCUUCCUCUAAGGCUAAAUAUAAUAUAUAAGCGAUAGCGUAUAGUACUGUGAAGGAAAGGUUUGAAUUAGUAGUCUUAUAAGCAGCUUUAGCUUUAUUUAAUUAAAAAGUGAUAGCGUACCUUUUGCAUAAUGGGUCAGUAAGUUAAUAUUAGAUGCGAGCAUUCGUGCCCAGAUAAACCAAUUAUGAAUUAAUGAUUUAGUAUCUAAAAUUAGACCCGAAGCCUAGUGAUCUUACCACAGUCAGGAUCACAAAAGUCUGAACGGGUUGUCGUUGCAAAGACAUCCGAUGAACUAUGGUAAGUAAGUGAAAGACAACACUGACUAGGAAAUAGCUGGUUUUCUGCGAAACCUAUAAAAGUAGGUAAUUUAAGUAACAUCAUAGCAGGUACAGAACUGUGUUCUCAGGCAACUUAGAAAUAUUUUGCAUAUAUCGGGCAAUCGUGAAGAUUUUAUCGGUGAGUAAUCGCACUCGGAAUGGUUAUGAUGAAUAUUAAAUAAUCGGACAUAGUACGCUAAGGUUGUAUUGUCUAAAGGGAAACAGCCCAGAACAAGAGUUUAAGGUUCCAAAUUUAUUGUUAAGUGAAAUUAAGGAUGUUUCUGUAAAAAACGGCCAGGAAAUUGGCUUAGAAGCGGCCAUUUUUUGAAGAUCUCGUAAAAGAGCACUGGUUUAGUAUAUUUUAUACGUGAAUAGUAGCACCGAAGAUUUAACGGAUCUAAACAAUAUACCGACACCUUGUCCAUAAAAAGGAUGAGCUUGUAGACAGCUCGUAUUUUUAUGGGGUAGCAGAACGUUGGGUAAAUAACACGGUUUAUUGUUUUUAACAAUAAAUAUAAGAUAACCCAAGUGAUAAUGCUGACAUGAGUAACGAAAAAGGGGUUAUACCCUCGCCUAAAGCUUAUGGUAUUUUAAAAUAAGUAACGGCCUCUAAGUUUACCAACCUAAAGGAUUAAACGAUGAGAAAAUCUUUUAGUUACUUAGUAACAACCUUCCUUCUUAUGUAACCAAGUCACCUUGCGAGGGGUUUGCUUGGAAAUAUUAUUGCCAAGUACCGGCGCAAGGCGGCCAUAAGAAAAGUUGAGGGAGGUUCUGGAAAAACAGUGACAAACCAGCUUCCGGCAAGUACGGAAGAAAGGGGGGAAAACAAAACCGUACCUAAAUACCACCUCAGGUAAGCUAGUAGAGAAUACGAAGGCGUUUGAGUGAACAAUCAUUAAGGAACUCGGCAAACUAACUACCGUAACUUCGGAAUAAGGAGUGCCAUUCCUCUUCAUUAAUAUGAGGUAAAGAAUAGGAAGCAUGGAAUAGUGUUGUACGACUGUUUAAUUAAAACAAAGCACUUCGCAAUAAGAUAAUAAAUCAAAGUAUUGAGUGUGAAUUCUGCCCGAUGUCGGCCGGUUAACGGAUUUACUAAGUUGACUAAUAUAAGCUUGGUUUUGAAGGAAACCCCGAUCAAUGGCGGUCUUACCUAUGAGGAUCCUAAGGUAGCGGAAUACCUUGGCCGUUAAAUGCGGUCUUGCAUGAAUGAUUUAACGAUACAACAGCUGUCUCAAUGAUUGGCUCAGUGAAAUUGGAAUGACAGUGCAGAUACUGUUUAUCUCUAGAUAGACGAGAAGACCCUAUGCAGCUUUACUGUUACUAGUUAUUAGAUAUGAUAAACAGCAUUUUUAGUGCAUAAGGUAGGUGCGCGGAGGUUUCAUUGGAUUCUUCUGUCACCCAAAUUGAAACACCUUUAUUUAGUUUUUCAUAUUGGUAAAUAUAUUUUACGUGAAAAAUCCAAUAUGGGUCUUUCAUUUCCAGAGGAACGAUGACUAGGAGGCAGUUUAUGCGGGGCACAGAUCCCAUAAAAAGUACCUGGGUGUAUCCAAAGUUAAUUUUGUAAAUUUGUUAUAAUUUAUAACAACCAAAACUAGUUUUGGUUUUUAGUUUGUUAUUAGAGAUAAAAGGCUUGGCCUUCUAUUUCCAAUCCACCUAUAUAUCUAUUGAGUUAGAACUAAAAAUUUUAAUCAAGUAAGAUUUUAUCUAUAUUGAAAAUAGAUGUAAACUAUGUUAUUAAGAUCUUUAAUAUCAUUGUUAUAUUAAAAGCCAACCGGGAACCGGGAACCAGGAUGGCUUUCUUGCUUGCCACAACCAUCGUCGCCCUUCCCCGGGGGGGGUAAUCGGAGGGAUAAGAACCAAGGCAGUUGGUGCAUUCCCAUACCGUUUCGGGGGGGGGUGGAGGAAGGGUUGUAGGGCAAGGAGGCGAAGCCAGCGCUGAAGCGGAAGAUAAUAAUAUAAUAUUUACUUGUCAAGUUUAAUGGCUUAAUCUUGCUUUACUGUUUGAUUUACACGUCUAUCAGUCGCGUAAGCGGGGCAUAUGAUCACAAGAUGCAGAAAGGAAAGGUCUUGGGUUUUUGAAAAAGCUACGCUAGGGAUAACGGGGUUUUGUCCCUACCUAAUUAUAAUACUAAGACCCCAUCUU